CUGAGCAAGCGCCCGCCAGCAUUGCUUUGCAGCAGCGACUUCUCCAAAGUGCCCUGUGUGCGUGCUGGCACGCAGGCUGCUUUCUGCCGCCCGAGCCCCGCGCUGGCUGCCCCGAGCCUCUGCCCCCGGCACAUGGCUCUCCCCGGGAGGCCUGCUGCGGCUGCCCCCAGCACACAGCCUCCAAGGCGGUCCCUGCUCUUCCUCCCAGCAGAUGUGGUUCCACCUUCCUGCUCAAGCASCGGGUGCCUCUCAGCRACCUCUGGGUGCUGUGCRRGAARGACGAGRCGGCGUGCGGCUGYGAAGAUGAGGAGGACGUUUUUGGCCUCAAAUGCGCCAAUUCCCUCGUCCUGGUCUGGACCACCAAGGUCUGCGUGGUCACCUUCCGGUCGCAGGAGGUGAAGGAGCAGUGGCUGAACACCAUGCUCAGGCAGAGCCCAGGAGCCCCGGGUCAGCCGCCUGCCCUGCCUUCGGCUCCUCAUCAAGKCCGUCGGCUUCGACGCUCCCGUAAGUGUCCCGGGGGUUUCCGCUGCGCCCCAAGUGCCACGGGGCUUUGGGGAAGGGCCCCCGCCACCAGCUGCUCACRUGGCUUCUCUGCUCUCUUGCCUAGUCGGGGUCACCGACUGCCCGCAGCAUGGAGGCCUUGACUGCGGCCAAGGUGAGUGGGGGCUGCCUCUGCCCUGGCCCUGGCUGGGUGCUGGCGGGAGGCAUCGGAGUUUCGGGAGGGCACGUGGCAGGGCCCGAAGCCCUGCAGACACCGGUCGGUCGCUGCUGCAUGGGGCCAUUCCUGCAGCCCAGCAUCUCCUCCACAGGAGUGUGACGACCUCGGCUCUUCCCUGCAGCUGCUCACAGCUCUCUGCGUGCCUGAAGCAGCUCCGGAGGCACCCGAGCACAYGGGCAGCUCYGCAGGUAGGACGAUGCACUGAGCAUUGGCACCGAGCAGGGCUGCUGGUGCCAGUUGUGUAGCUGGAGAUCGCAAGGCGCCUGUGGCCAUGCCGAGGGGGGCAGAGGGCUCGAGACCUUCUGGCAGUGCUUUCCUCCUGCCACACUUCCCAGAAGUUCAGAAUGACAAUACUCACUCCACAAAAGGCAUCGCACGUGUUGAACCUCUGUAGCCCUCUGCUCUUCACAGCGCUGCUCACUAGGGACUGCAGCUGCACUCCCCGGGCAGGAUACUGCCCCCGCGGGGACUUGKSUCUCCUCCUGAACUGCUCCUCACCUCCAUAGCUGCUAAGGGUGCCCCUUGCCAUGUGCCACGUGCGGGGCUGCGUGCUCCCACCGGAAAAGUCCCCUUUUGCCCCUUCAGAGGCCCAGGAAAAAGGAGCUGACAGCCUCUUUCUCCCCACAGCACACCCAGGUGCUGCUCUGGAGGAYKCCUCUGCCCUCCWCAGCCCAGAGGCUGAAGCUGCCUGCGGCCCCCCAACCGCUGAGACGCAGCAGCCCAGAGGGAAAAGCCCCAGCGGGAGGCGCAGAAAUGCCUCGUGCGUCUCUGCUCCUCCACUGCCUGCUCAGAG
RNAcentral lists this long non-coding RNA (1511 nucleotides) under Apteryx owenii (little spotted kiwi). RNAcentral describes it as "lncRNA (ENSAOWG00000017895.1)". Lineage: Eukaryota; Metazoa; Chordata; Aves; Apterygiformes; Apterygidae. The record is from RNAcentral.